UUUGUGAUGAAGAGUCCAUCACAAUUGAGGAACACAGUGAAAUGCUAAUGAGAAAAGAACGAGUCAAAGGUAUGAGGAUCUUUGGGUAAUUGUGGGUUUAGGUUAGGUUGAAGCACUGACAGACUCAGCAAAUGACAAGUGUGCUCAGAAAAAAUUCAACCUAAAAUCUUGUCAAACUCUCUCCUCAUACCUUGGUUUCUUUAAUGUUUUAACCCCCAUAUGGUCCUGUUUGAGCUUAAGUAAAUCCACCCAAAAGAGCAAGAGUUCACAGUGGGUUGAUAAGUUAUUGCAAGGUUAGUGAAGUCCCAAAGCGGGGUUGAUAAGCCCAAGGAUGGCA
Molecule: long non-coding RNA, 337 nt
Filed under: Prunus persica (peach)
Lineage: Eukaryota; Viridiplantae; Streptophyta; Magnoliopsida; Rosales; Rosaceae
Description: long non-coding RNA (PPER_LNC005513)
Source: RNAcentral